AUUGAACGCUGGCGGCAUGCCUUACACAUGCAAGUCGAACGGCAGCGCGGACUUCGGUCUGGCGGCGAGUGGCGAACGGGUGAGUAAUAUAUCGGAACGUACCCAGGAGUGGGGGAUAACGUAGCGAAAGUUACGCUAAUACCGCAUACGACCUAAGGGUGAAAGUGGGGGAUCGCAAGACCUCAUGCUCAUGGAGCGGCCGAUAUCUGAUUAGCUAGUUGGUGGGGUAAAGGCCCACCAAGGCAACGAUCAGUAGCUGGUCUGAGAGGA
RNAcentral lists this ribosomal RNA (270 nucleotides) under uncultured bacterium. RNAcentral describes it as "partial 16S ribosomal RNA". It matches the Rfam family "Bacterial small subunit ribosomal RNA", at positions 30 to 300 of the family's 1533-position model. The record is from RNAcentral.